Molecule: ribosomal RNA, 607 nt
Filed under: Enterocytozoon bieneusi
Lineage: Eukaryota; Fungi; Microsporidia; Enterocytozoonidae
Description: SSU rRNA
Rfam family: Microsporidia small subunit ribosomal RNA
Source: RNAcentral
AAACUUUGUCCACUCCUUACGGGGGAGACAGUCAUGAGACGUGAGUAUAAGACCUGAGUGUAAAGACCUUAGGGUGAAGCAAUUGGAGGGCAAGCUUUGGUGCCAGCAGCCGCGGUAACUCCAACUCCAAGAGUGUCUAUGGUGGAUGCUGCAGUUAAAGGGUCCGUAGUCGUGAAUGCAAUUAAAUGUCGUUGUUCAAUAGCGAUGAGUUUGCUAAUGUUUGCGGAACGGAUAGGGAGUGUAGUAUAGACUGGCGAAGAAUGAAAUCUCAAGACCCAGUUUGGACUAACGGAGGCGAAGGCGACACUCUUAGACGUAUCUUAGGAUCAAGGACGAAGGCAGGAGUAUCGAAAGUGAUUAGACACCGCUGUAGUUCCUGCAGUAAACUAUGCCGACAGCCUGUGUGUGAGAAUACGUGGGCGGGAGAAAUCUUAGUGUUCGGGCUCUGGGGAUAGUACGCUCGCAAGGGUGAAACUUAAAGCGAAAUUGACGGAAGGACACUACCAGGAGUGGACUGUGCUGCUUAAUUUAACUCAACGCGGGAAAACUUACCAGGGUCAAGUCAUUCGUUGAUCGAAUACGUGAGAAUGGCAGGAGUGGUGCAUGG